GUGGGGAAUAUUGGACAAUGGGCGAAAGCCUGAUCCAGCAAUGCCGCGUGAGUGAUGAAGGCCCUAGGGUUGUAAAGCUCUUUUACCCGGGAUGAUAAUGACAGUACCGGGAGAAUAAGCUCCGGCUAACUUCGUGCCAGCAGCCGCGGUAAUACGAGGGGAGCUAGCGUUGUUCGGAAUUACUGGGCGUAAAGCGCGCGUAGGCGGUUUUUUAAGUCAGAGGUGAAAGCCCGGGGCUCAACCCCGGAAUUGCCUUUGAAACUGGAAAACUAGAAUCUUGGAGAGGUCAGUGGAAUUCCGAGUGUAGAGGUGAAAUUCGUAGAUAUUCGGAAGAACACCAGUGGCGAAGGCGACUGACUGGACAAGUAUUGACGCUGAGGUGCGAAAGCGUGGGGAGCAAACAGGAUUAGAUACCCUUGUAGUCC
Molecule: ribosomal RNA, 425 nt
Filed under: uncultured bacterium
Lineage: Bacteria
Description: bacterial SSU rRNA
Rfam family: Bacterial small subunit ribosomal RNA
Source: RNAcentral